This 484-nucleotide ribosomal RNA is filed under the name uncultured bacterium. RNAcentral describes it as "partial 16S ribosomal RNA". It matches the Rfam family "Bacterial small subunit ribosomal RNA", at positions 30 to 507 of the family's 1533-position model. The record is from RNAcentral.
AUUGAACGCUGGCGGCAGGCCUAACACAUGCAAGUCGAGCGGAUGAAGGGAGCUUGCUCCUGGAUUCAGCGGCGGACGGGUGAGUAAUGCCUAGGAAUCUGCCUGGUAGUGGGGGAUAACGUCCGGAAACGGGCGCUAAUACCGCAUACGUCCUGAGGGAGAAAGUGGGGGAUCUUCGGACCUCACGCUAUCAGAUGAGCCUAGGUCGGAUUAGCUAGUUGGUGGGGUAAAGGCCUACCAAGGCGACGAUCCGUAACUGGUCUGAGAGGAUGAUCAGUCACACUGGAACUGAGACACGGUCCAGGCUCCUACGGGAGGCAGCAGUGGGGAAUAUUGGACAAUGGGCGAAAGCCUGAUCCAGCCAGGCCGCGUGUGUGAAGAAGGUCUUCGGAUUGUAAAGCACUUUAAGUUGGGAGAAAGGGCAGUAAGUUAAUACCUUGCUGUUUUGACGUUACCAACAGAAUAAGCACCGGCCAACUUCGUG